Molecule: non-coding RNA, 286 nt
Organism: Cinara cedri
Lineage: Eukaryota; Metazoa; Arthropoda; Insecta; Hemiptera; Aphididae
Source: the annotation of a GenBank genome assembly
UAAGUACUUUUAUUUUCGAGUCAGUUUUCUUGUCUCUUUUGAACAUUCGCAUAGUCUGACAAAGUGUAUUUAAAAAAGUCUUGUCUAAUUCCCCUUGACUGUUGUGUCGCUAAUGUAUUUUCUGUUGGUACUUCCUAGAUUGACAUCAAAUUCUUUUAGAAAAUAAUAAAUUGGGAUAGUAAGUAUGAAGACAUUAACAUUCCUUCUCUUGUUCCCAACUAAUAAAUAUUAAUAACCCAUCACUUAUUACCUUGUAAUUUUAUUUCUGUAAAAACAGCUAAAAUAU